Molecule: long non-coding RNA, 1563 nt
Organism: Cyanistes caeruleus (blue tit)
Lineage: Eukaryota; Metazoa; Chordata; Aves; Passeriformes; Paridae
Source: RefSeq, a predicted model, not a curated record
ACUCCAGUGUAGGUGUCUCUCCGUGUGUGACUGCCAAGCGCUCCACACACAGAGCCAGGUGCUCCCUCGGCAGCCCACACACACCAGCAACAGCAGAGCAGGAAGGUUUUACACCCUCAGUCCUGGCCCUCUGCUAGGAACACGUCUGCUGCCCUUCCAGGUCCCACCUUAUCAGAUGGCGAUGCUGAGGAGUAAAAUAAUGCCUGUGUGCCUCAACUUCACCCCAAGCUCCUGACUUUAGUGUGCCAUUGAGAAAUUAGAGGAUGAGGAAACUUAACAGUGGCCUGUGAGUAACAGUGGAAAAUUGAGCCAAUAAAAUUUCCUUCACCUCUUUUAUGACACGGUCACAAAAUGACAGCUCUGACUGAGGAAUGCAAAGUCCUCGCGUCCCCUGGCCUACGCAGGCGUGCAUGGCAUAUUCUAAUUGGACUGGUACAUACCUUCCCGUCCAUGAGAGACUUCCCCUGGGAAGCCAUAGGCACCAGGCAAAUGAAAUCGGAGACUCGGCUCCUUCACCUUCCCAUUACCUGCAACAUGCUUUGAUCAGUGGGGCAUAAAUAAACACAUGAAUGUCCCAUCUCUGCCAAGGUCAACGAGAUGCAGCAGAGUUCCUCCAGUCACCUGAACGAGUUCAUUGGACUUGGGAUGGGGCAAAAUGCUUUACUGUGCUUAAAAAAAAAUCACUGGAUGUAACAACAAAGGGUAUGAUGUGGUAUGACUACUGUAGUUUGGGAAAGCUAAAAGCCAUAGAGAGCCUGAAGGGGAAAGGGUUGGGAUUGUCAAUGGACCAUAACCAAGAAGGAAGAGCCAAAGUUCUUGGAGUCCUCUUCCCAAACACCCUCCUGUAUGGAAAAUUUGGUCUAACCUCUGCCAGACUGAUGCACCUGAGGAACCCAGCUUUCAGCACAAAUCUUUGCUGCCCAUUACCGAAGCCAGCACCUCACCUCUUCCAUUUGUGCCAGCUAAGGUGCAAUACAGCAAUCCCCACAGCAGGACAUGCAGCAAUCCUGCUUUUGAUGCAAACAGUAGGUGGCAAAGAUGCACCCUGCUGUUUUAUGUCUUGCCUCUCCUCACAGCUAUAGCUUAUGAGCAGUUAAACAUGGGUGCAGUCACUAAAAAAUUUCAAGUCAGUGGGGCCCACAAAGGAUAGCUGUUAUCACCAGUAACAUAAUCCAGACUGAAGGGGAACACACAUUAGGAGCUCUCCUUCCUUCAGUGCCCCACUGCAGUCAUUCACUAAAAGAAGUCUCUACAGAAGAUUUAGACUGUAACUGGUUUUGGCAUAUUUUAAGGGCAACCAAGAAAGGACCCAUCCAGCAGAAUUUCCCAUUCCUAGCUCUAGCUGUUUGCAGCAGUUUCUUUCUGUCUGAGGGUCAUCUUUGCAGCUAGGGCAACAGUAACCCCUCCUACCUCACAGCAUUAGGCAGGGAGUGGCUGCUCAGUGUACUGAAUAUGCAAAGGCCUGUAAUAAGCCCUGUAUCUGAUUGCAACCAUAAGCAAAGUCUUAUUUAAGCAAUCCCUUCCCCAACAAAAAUAUAUCAGCUGCUCACUUGGUUCUUUCCC